AAUCAACGCUGGCGGCGUGCCUAACACAUGCAAGUCGAACGAGAAAAUCCGGUGUUGUAGCAAUACAAUACUGGGUGAGUACAGUGGCGACCGGGUGAGUAACACGUGGAUAACCUACCUUGGAGCGGGGAAUAACCCUGGGAAACCGGGGCUAAUACCGCAUAACACUUGGCGACUGCGGUUGCCGGGUUGAAACCUGGAAACGGGGCUCCUAGAGGGGUCCGCGGCCGAUUAGCUAGUUGGCGGGGUAACGGCCCACCAAGGCUGCGAUCGGUAGCCGGCCUGAGAGGGCGGUCGGCCACACUGGAACUGACACACGGUCCAGACUCCUACGGGAGGCAGCAGUGGGGAAUUUUGCGCAAUGGGGGAAACCCUGACGCAGCAACGCCGCGUGGAUGAUGAAGCCCCUUGGGGUGUAAAAUCCUUUCGGCAGGGACGAAGUCCGCGCAAGCGGGUUGACGGUACCUGAAGAAGCCCCGGCUAACUCCGUGCCAGCAGCCGCCGU
RNAcentral lists this ribosomal RNA (505 nucleotides) under uncultured bacterium. Its description in RNAcentral is "bacterial SSU rRNA". It matches the Rfam family "Bacterial small subunit ribosomal RNA", at positions 32 to 521 of the family's 1533-position model. The record is from RNAcentral.